Molecule: ribosomal RNA, 250 nt
Filed under: uncultured prokaryote
Description: partial 16S rRNA
Rfam family: Bacterial small subunit ribosomal RNA
Source: RNAcentral
ACGUAGGGGGCAAGCGUUAUCCGGAAUUAUUGGGCGUAAAGAGUGCGUAGGUGGUUUUUUAAGCGUGAGGUGAAAGGCAAUAGCUUAACUAUUGUAAGCCUUGCGAACUGGAAGACUUGAGUGCAGGAGAGGAAAGUGGAAUUCCUAGUGUAGGAGUGAAAUGCGUGUAUAUUAGGGGGAACACCUGUGGCGAAGGCGUCUAACUGUACUGGAUCCGACAGUGAGGCAUGUAAGCAUGUGGAGCAAACAG